GACGAACGCUGGCGGCGUGCUUAACACAUGCAAGUCGAACGAAGUGGCGAACGGGUGAGUAACGCGUAAUCAACCUGCCCUUCAGAGGGGGACAAAAGUUGGAAACGACUGCUAAUACCGCAUACGGAAGGAGGGGAUUGCGUCUGAUUGGCUAGUUGGAGGGGUAACGGCCAACCAAGGCGAUGAUCAGUAGCCGGUCUGGGAUGAUGAGCUGCCACAUUGGAACUGAGACACGGCCCAGACGCCUACGGGAGGCAGCAGUGGGGAAUCUUCCGCAAUGGACGAAAGUCGGACGGUGCAACGCCGCGUGAGUGAUGACGGCCUUCGGGUUGUAAAGCUCUGUUAAUCGGGACGCGGUACCGGAAUAGAAAGCCACGGCUAACUACGUGCCAGCAGCCGCGGUAAUUC
This 408-nucleotide ribosomal RNA is filed under the name uncultured bacterium. Its description in RNAcentral is "partial 16S ribosomal RNA". It matches the Rfam family "Bacterial small subunit ribosomal RNA", at positions 28 to 526 of the family's 1533-position model. The record is from RNAcentral.